GUUAAGGUGGCAGAGCCCGGUAAUUGCAAAAGACCUAAGCCCUUUUUACAGGGGUUCAAACCCCCUCCUUAACU
This 74-nucleotide transfer RNA is filed under the name Mugil cephalus (flathead mullet). Its description in RNAcentral is "tRNA-Leu". It matches the Rfam family "tRNA". From Rfam's summary of the family: Transfer RNA (tRNA) molecules are approximately 80 nucleotides in length. Their secondary structure includes four short double-helical elements and three loops (D, anti-codon, and T loops). Further hydrogen bonds mediate the characteristic L-shaped molecular structure. tRNAs have two regions of fundamental functional importance: the anti-codon, which is responsible for specific mRNA codon recognition, and the 3' end, to which the tRNAs corresponding amino acid is attached (by aminoacyl-tRNA synthetases). tRNAs cope with the degeneracy of the genetic code in two manners: having more than one tRNA (with a specific anti-codon) for a particular amino acid; and 'wobble' base-pairing, i.e. permitting non-standard base-pairing at the 3rd anti-codon position. Lineage: Eukaryota; Metazoa; Chordata; Actinopteri; Mugiliformes; Mugilidae. The record is from RNAcentral.